GGGAAGGUGGCUCAGUGGUAGAGCGCUUGCCUUGCAUGCAUGUUGGAGACCUAAAAACCUGCCUG
Molecule: transfer RNA, 65 nt
Filed under: Dipodomys ordii (Ord's kangaroo rat)
Lineage: Eukaryota; Metazoa; Chordata; Mammalia; Rodentia; Heteromyidae
Rfam family: tRNA
About the family: Transfer RNA (tRNA) molecules are approximately 80 nucleotides in length. Their secondary structure includes four short double-helical elements and three loops (D, anti-codon, and T loops).
Source: Rfam by way of RNAcentral